Molecule: ribosomal RNA, 291 nt
Filed under: uncultured bacterium
Lineage: Bacteria
Description: partial 16S ribosomal RNA
Rfam family: Bacterial small subunit ribosomal RNA
Source: RNAcentral
GGAUUAGAUACCCUGGUAGUCCACGCCCUAAACUAUGUAUGCUUGGUGUUGGGUCAAUUGCGAUUCAGUGCCGGAGGAAAUCCGUUAAGCAUACCACCUGGGGAGUACGAUCGCAAGGUUGAAACUCAAAGGAAUUGACGGGGGCCCGCACAAGCGGUGGAUUAUGUGGUUUAAUUCGAUGCAACGCGAAGAACCUUACCUGGGCUCGAAGUGUAGUGGACCGCUCCUUAAAGGGAGCUUUCCUUCGGGACUGCUACAUAGGUGCUGCAUGGCUGUCGUCAGCUCGUGCUG